RNAcentral lists this ribosomal RNA (311 nucleotides) under Mantidactylus melanopleura. RNAcentral describes it as "partial 16S ribosomal RNA". It matches the Rfam family "Bacterial large subunit ribosomal RNA", at positions 2220 to 2597 of the family's 2925-position model. The record is from RNAcentral. Lineage: Eukaryota; Metazoa; Chordata; Amphibia; Anura; Mantellidae.
CUCUUAUAGCCCCACAACCCCCCCUAGGCGCCGUGUGCUUGGUUUUAGGUUGGGGCGACCGCGGAGUACAAUAAAACCUCCACAAUGAACGGGAACACCCCCUUAUCUGAGGGCCACACCCCCUAAGAAUUAGAACACUAACAUAAAAUGAUCCAUUACUUGAUCAAUGAACCAAGUUACCCUGGGGAUAACAGCGCAAUCCAUUUCAAGAGCCCCUAUCGACAAAUGGGUUUACGACCUCGAUGUUGGAUCAGGGUACCCCAGUGGUGCAGCAGCUACUAACGGUUCGUUUGUUCAACGAUUAAAACCCU